Molecule: long non-coding RNA, 1590 nt
Filed under: Homo sapiens (human)
Lineage: Eukaryota; Metazoa; Chordata; Mammalia; Primates; Hominidae
Description: non-protein coding lnc-KCNE1B-8:1
Source: RNAcentral
AGAGUCGGGGCUGAGACCAGCCCCGGCCAGGGUAGUUACCGGGACGGUCUCCGGAGGCCGGGAUUCGCGGAGGGUCCACCAGCAGGAAGAAACCCCAGGAGGAAGAAACCUCAGACAGAUCGCCGGGGAGGCAGCGCGGGAUCCCAGCCUCAGGCGUGCGCGGACGGUGUGCGGUAGAAGUGGGUUUCACCAUGUUGGCCAGGCUGGUCUCGAAUUCCUGACUUCAAGUGAUUGGACUCCCAAAGUGCUGGAAUUAGAGGCAUAAGCCACCAUGCCUGGCCUCCCCUAAUUCGCUUCUUUGAACCUCUCUACAUCAUCACAAGAUGGGUGUUACUAUGAUCACUAUUUUAUAGGUUCUCAAUGGCCCACUUCCUGACCACCACCCUCUGGAGUCCAAAGGAGAUUUGCUUAUUCCCAGUAUUAUUCCUGCAGGUCAGCCAAAGAGGAGCAAAGAGUCAUCUACCUCAAUCAUGUUCAGGAAAUGAUCAGGUCAAGAUGUGGAGUGAGCAAGCUUUUCUCUUUUGUGCCACAUUUUCUGACCCAGUAUUUCAAGCUACCCAAGGUGCGAAAAAGAAAGAAGGCCGAAGGGAAGAAGGUGGUGCUCACCCUUGCUGUCUUGAAAAAGCAGGAGACCAUGAAAGUGGUUGCAGCAGCAGAGAGCCAUCCUCUAUAAACAGCUAGAAGUGCCUUCUGUGAUUAAUCAGUUCACCAGGGCCUUGGACCACCAAACAGCUGCUCAAUGGGGGCCCAGUGCAAAAUGACGUGGAUGUUGUACCUCGUUCAAAGUGUUAAGCGUUUCAAGAUGGCAACAGCAGAGCAUUAGGCCAAGUAUGAGGUCAUUAUGUACAUGGGUCCUUGUGUGACCACACAGGUCACAGGAACAUGAAGCUAGACCUGAGUGUAUAUUCAGAUAGUGGAGAUGGCGUUUCACCGUGUUAGCCAGGAUGGUCUCGAUCUCCUGACCUCAUGAUCUGCCCGCCUCAGCCUCCCAAAGUGCUGGGAUUACAGGAGAGAUUUCACUCUGCAAGGAGCCAAUUGGCAGUGUUUGGAGAUGUUUUCUGUUGUCACAACUUGUGAAUGGAGUUACUACUAGCAUCGAAUUGGAGAGGCCAGGGAUGUUGCUAAACAUCCUGCAACAUACAAGGAAACAAGGUCAUCAGCUGGCAUUGAGAUUGAAGAAAAGUAUGUGAGGGGUGUGAAAUGAGGAAAGAAUCCAUAAGUUAAUCUUACAUAAGAGGAAGAAGGCAAUGGCUAACAAAAGAAAAAUGGGCUUGUUUGGCCGCAUUAAAGGCACAUUUGCUUUUCAAGAAUAUUCACUAACAGAAGACUGGUGAAUUAACAUUGGCAUGGAUUCUUCAAAUUAAUGAUGGAGGACAUGUUGCAAUUCUAUUAUUAUCUGAUGCAAAGGACUAUUCAUGGUCAUGACUAAUCAUUAAAUGGCUGUAAACUUUUGAGAAAACACUUCCAAAUACUGUGACAGCAUAUCGGCUGCAGUUGUUAAGGCUGGCAUUAUUGGCAUUAGAUCACUGAAGAGGAAAUAAAGUGUGCAAGAAUACUCUCUUGUCACCAGAUUACUGAGGUGUACUGGAG